CCUACGGGCGGCAGCAGUGAGGAAUAUUGGACAAUGGGGGAAACCCUGAUGCAGCGACGCCGCGUGAGGGAAGAAGUAUUUCGGUAUGUAAAGCUCUAUCAGCAGGGGAGAAAAUGACGGUACCUGACUAAGAAGCCCCGGCUAAGUACGUGCCAGCAGCCGCGGGAAUGCGUAGGGGGCAGGCGUUAUCCGGAUUUACUGGGUGUAAAGGGAGCGUAGACGGUUAAUCAAGUCAGAAGUGAAAAGCCAGGGCUCAACCUUGGGACUGCUUUUGAAACUGAGUAGCUAGAGUGCAGGAGAGGUAAGCGGAAUUCCUAGUGUAGCGGUGAAAUGCGUAGAUAUUAGGAGGAA
Molecule: ribosomal RNA, 351 nt
Filed under: uncultured bacterium
Lineage: Bacteria
Description: partial 16S ribosomal RNA
Rfam family: Bacterial small subunit ribosomal RNA
Source: RNAcentral